Molecule: small nuclear RNA, 103 nt
Organism: Ursus maritimus (polar bear)
Lineage: Eukaryota; Metazoa; Chordata; Mammalia; Carnivora; Ursidae
Source: Ensembl
GUGCUCGCUCCGGCACUCUUCUACUAAAAUUGGAAUAGAGAGGAGAUUAGCUUGGGCCCUGCGCAAGGAUGACACGAAAAUUCGUGAAGCGUUCCAUAAUUUU